GAUAUAGCGGCGAACGGGUGAGUAAUACGUUGGAACCUGCCCCGAACUCAGGGAUAGCCAUCCGAAAGGAUGAUUAAUACCGGAUAGUCCCGAAAGGGUAAAGAUUUUUCGGUUCGGGAGGGGCCUGCGGCCUAUCAGCUUGUUGGUAGUGUAAUAGACUACCAAGGCUAUGACGGGUAGCUGGUGUGAGAGCAUGACCAGCCACAAUGGAACUGAGACACGGUCCAUACUCC
Molecule: ribosomal RNA, 233 nt
Filed under: uncultured bacterium
Lineage: Bacteria
Description: partial 16S ribosomal RNA
Rfam family: Bacterial small subunit ribosomal RNA
Source: RNAcentral